CUAAAUCAUCUCCAACCCUAGACGCCUCCGAUGCAUCUCCGCCAGAAGGCUUCCGAUUCAUCUCCGCCAAACGCCUUCCGCUUCAUCUUCGCCAGACGCCUCCGAUUCAUCCAGGGGAGUACGCAUCUCCGAUUCAUCUCGCGUUAAAUCGAUGAACUCUUCAGGUUUCAAGUCUAUUCCGGAUCUAAACAAUCGAUUCCGUCAGAGAAACCGUUCCUCUAUGAUCUAUUGACUAUGAGCCUAAGGAGCACUGAUGUCGAUGGCGAGGAAGUAAGGCUAGCAGAUUACUUUGAUGUCGUUUCUGGAACGAGCACAUGUGGUCUAGUUACGAUCAUGCUAACGGCUCCAAAUGAGAACAACUUACCUAUGUAUGCUGCCAAAGACAUCGUUCAGUUUUAUCUUGAACCACAUGAAAGCGCCUUCUGUAAAUUAGACAUCCUGUGUGAUAAAUAUUAACUUAUUUUGUGUACAAGUUAGUAUUAUUGAUCUUCAAUUUAUUACCUGAUUCAAAAUUAGAUAGCUACUAGCAUGGAAAAUCUUACUUUAUGUGGCAGAAGUGUGUGAAUGUCUUUUUAGAAACAUCUUAAAAUUUGGGACUUUAUUCAUUACAUUUUAUGCUUUCCUGCGUUAAAUGUCAACUGCGUUUGUCAUUUAUGUUCUUCGUAUAAUCUACAAGUUUUAACUUUUAAGUGUUAUUACUAUCCAUUUGACUAUGAUUUUUUUGGAUUACAACCCAAAUUGGUGGUUAUUUCAAAUUCAAUAUCAUUUGCAAACCUGAAAGCUUCUGAUUAUCCACGCCUUACACACGGGAAGGCUUAGGAUGAGGUAUUUUUUCUGUUAUAUCUUACUUUUUAGAGUAAAUUACAAGUUUUGUCCUUUAUGUUUACAUCAAAUUACAGGCGUUGUCCUUUUGGCCAAAAGUUUACAGGCGGUGUCCUUAACCUUCCAAAAUCUUGUACGUUUUGUCCUUUAUACCAAACCUGGUUAGAAAUCUCAGUUAAUUCUUGCCAUGUGCAAUGCACAGAGAUUGGACCAGAAUGGUGUGAGAUAAACGCUCAAGUACCAAUAAAAAAAGAUGAAAACUUGGUAAGACCAUAUGGUUUAUUUUCUACAAUUCAAGAUUGUAUUGGUGCAUCCAUCGCAUGGCCCUAUCCAUUCAUCUCGGUAGUCCAUGAGGAUUGAGGACGCAUGAUGACUCAAGAUUUUAUGCUUCUUAUUUCU
Long non-coding RNA from Helianthus annuus (common sunflower), 1221 nucleotides. RefSeq lists it as uncharacterized. The transcript has 3 exons. The record is from RefSeq and is a predicted model, not a curated record. NCBI's taxonomy places the organism in Eukaryota, Viridiplantae, Streptophyta, Magnoliopsida, Asterales, Asteraceae.